RNAcentral lists this ribosomal RNA (1162 nucleotides) under Bradinopyga cornuta. Its description in RNAcentral is "partial 16S ribosomal RNA". Lineage: Eukaryota; Metazoa; Arthropoda; Insecta; Odonata; Libellulidae. The record is from RNAcentral.
AUAAUUAUUUUCUUACUUUUAAAAUUUUAUUUUGUUAUGAGAAAAAUCUUUUUAUUUAGUAUAAUAAAGAAAAAUAUUUAUGGUUAUAGUAGAUUAGUACUGUAAAGGAACUGAUGAAAUAAUUGUUAAAUUUGAAUUAUUAAAAAGUAUGUUUUAUUUACAGUACCUUUUGUAUCAGGGUUGAUUAAAUAAUUUAAUGUAUAUUUUGUUCUCGAUUUCAAAAGAUCUAAUUUACUAAUUUAGUUAGUGUUUCAUAAUUAUUAAUAAUAUAAAUUAGAGGAGAAAUUUUAUUCGGUUUUGAAGGUAUCUAGUUUUUUAAGAAUUAAAUUUAAUUUAGUCUUACUAAUUAAAUAUUAUAUUUUUUUAUUAUUUAUUGAGUAAGGGUAAAAUUAUAGGGGAUAAGCUCUAUAUUUUUCUAUAAAAAUUUUAUUUAUUUUAAUUUUGUAGGGUUAAAUUAUCCAUCAUUAGUAAGUGUGUUAUAACUUAUUUUCGUUUUUAUUUAAUUUUGUGUUUUUAUAGUUUAUUAUUAAAAUAUUAAAAUACACUUUUUAUUUUAAGAAAUAAUGAUUAAAUUAGUAUAAUAUUCUGUUUAUGAUGAAAUUUAUUUUAUGAUAAAAUAAGGAACUCGGCAAAUAUAGUUCUCGCCUGUUUAACAAAAACAUGUCCUUUUGAAUUUUAUUUAAGGUCAGGCCUGCCCAGUGAUUAAUUUAACGGCCGCGGUAUACUGACCGUGCAAAGGUAGCAUAAUCAUUAGUCUUUUAAUAGGGGGCUGGUAUGAAAGGUUUAACGAGGAACUGACUGUCUCAUUUUAUUUGUUUUAAAAAUUAAUUUUUUAGUCAAAAAGCUAAAAUUUACUUGGAAGACGAGAAGACCCUAUAGAGCUUUAUAUAUUAUUGAUUGAAAUAUAAUAUAUUAAUACUUUUAGUUAAUAAUGUAUUUUGUUGGGGUGACAAAAAUACAAGAAUAACUUUUUUAUUUAUUUUACAUUGAUGUAUGAUUUUUAGAUCCAUUAUUAUUGAUUGUUAGAAUAAGUUACCUUAGGGAUAACAGCGUAAUCCUUUCCCAGAGUUCAUAUUUACGAAAGGGGUUGCGACCUCGAUGUUGGAUUAAGAUAAUAGUUAGGUGUAGCCGCUUAAUGUAUAGGUCUGUUCGACCUUUAACC